RNAcentral lists this ribosomal RNA (729 nucleotides) under uncultured fungus. Its description in RNAcentral is "SSU rRNA". It matches the Rfam family "Eukaryotic small subunit ribosomal RNA", at positions 325 to 1058 of the family's 1831-position model. The record is from RNAcentral. Lineage: Eukaryota; Fungi.
AUGGUAGGAUAGAGGCCUACCAUGGUGGUAACGGGUAACGUGGUGUUAGGGCACGACACCGGAGAGGGAGCCUGAGAAACGGCUACCACAUCCAAGGAUGGCAGCAGGCGCGCAAAUUACCCAAUCCCGACACGGGGAGGUAGUGACAAUAAAUAACAAUACGGGGUUCUUUCGGAUCUCGUAAUUGGAAUGAGUACAAUUUAAAUCUCUUAACGAGGAACAAUUGGAGGGCAAGUCUGGUGCCAGCAGCCGCGGUAAUUCCAGCUCCAAUAGCGUAUAUUAAAGUUGUUGCAGUUAAAAAGCUCGUAGUUGAAUUUCGGGGUUAGUAGGUUGGUCAUGCCUCUGGUAUGUACUGGUCUCACUGAUUCCUCCUUCCUUAUGAACCGUAAUGCCAUUAAUUUGGUGUUGCGGGGAAUUUGGACUGUUACUUUGAAAAAAUUAGAGUGUUUAAAGCAAGCUAACGCUUGAAUACAUUAGCAUGGAAUAAUGAAAUAGGACGUUCGAUCUUAUUUUGUUGGUUUCUAGGAUUGACGUAAUGAUUAAUAGGGAUAGUUGGGGGCAUUAGUAUUCAAUUGUCAGAGGUGAAAUUCUUGGAUUUAUUGAAGACUAACUACUGCGAAAGCAUUUGCCAAGGAUGUUUUCAUUAAUCAAGAACGAAAGUUAGGGGAUCGAAGACGAUCAGAUACCGUCGUAGUCUUAACCAUAAACUAUGCCGACUAGGGAUCGGAU